ACCCGGUUAGCCCAAUGGCAUAGCGUGAGGCUUUUAACCUCAAAUAUACGUGUUCUACUCAUGUAUAUGGCU
This 72-nucleotide transfer RNA is filed under the name Smittium mucronatum. It matches the Rfam family "tRNA". From Rfam's summary of the family: Transfer RNA (tRNA) molecules are approximately 80 nucleotides in length. The record is from Rfam by way of RNAcentral. Lineage: Eukaryota; Fungi; Kickxellomycota; Harpellomycetes; Harpellales; Legeriomycetaceae.